GGACGAACGCUGGCGGCGUGCUUAACACAUGCAAGUCGAGCGGAAAGGCCCUUCGGGGUACUCGAGCGGCGAACGGGUGAGUAACACGUGAGCAACCUGCCCCUGACUUCGGGAUAAGCCUGGGAAACCGGGUCUAAUACCGGAUACGACCACUACUCGCAUGGGUGGUGGUGGAAAGUUUUUCGGUCGGGGAUGGGCUCGCGGCCUAUCAGCUUGUUGGUGGGGUGAUGGCCUACCAAGGCGACGACGGGUAGCCGGCCUGAGAGGGCGACCGGCCACACUGGGACUGAGACACGGCCCAGACUCCUACGGGAGGCAGCAGUGGGGAAUAUUGCGCAAUGGGCGGAAGCCUGACGCAGCGACGCCGCGUGAGGGAUGAAGGCCUUCGGGUUGUAAACCUCUUUCAGCACCGACGAAUCCAGACGGUAGGUGCAGAAGAAGCGCCGGCUAACUACGU
RNAcentral lists this ribosomal RNA (457 nucleotides) under Thermomonosporaceae bacterium 'ARUP UnID 35'. RNAcentral's name for it is "bacterial SSU rRNA". It matches the Rfam family "Bacterial small subunit ribosomal RNA", at positions 27 to 506 of the family's 1533-position model. The record is from RNAcentral. Lineage: Bacteria; Bacillati; Actinomycetota; Actinomycetes; Streptosporangiales; Thermomonosporaceae.